UACGGAGGAUGCAGGCGUUAUCCGGAUUUAUUGGGUUUAAAGGGUGCGCAGGCGGAUUAUUAAGUCAGCGGUGAAAUCCUACAGCUUAACUGUAGAACUGCCGUUGAUACUGAUAGUCUUGAGUAUAGUUGAGGUAGGCGGAAUGUGUCAUGUAGCGGUGAAAUGCUUAGAUAUGACACAGAACACCGAUUGCGAAGGCAGCUUACUAAACUAUAACUGACGCUGAGGCACGAAAGCGUGGGGAGCGAACAGG
RNAcentral lists this ribosomal RNA (253 nucleotides) under uncultured bacterium. RNAcentral's name for it is "partial 16S ribosomal RNA". It matches the Rfam family "Bacterial small subunit ribosomal RNA", at positions 524 to 776 of the family's 1533-position model. The record is from RNAcentral.